This 500-nucleotide ribosomal RNA is filed under the name uncultured Myrionecta. Its description in RNAcentral is "SSU rRNA". It matches the Rfam family "Eukaryotic small subunit ribosomal RNA", at positions 34 to 596 of the family's 1831-position model. The record is from RNAcentral. Lineage: Eukaryota; Ciliophora; Litostomatea; Cyclotrichida; Mesodiniidae.
GCUGUCCAGACUAGCCAUGCACGUCUAAGUACAAACUAAAUGAUGGUGAAACAGCAAAUAGGGCUCAUUCUCAACGGUUAUGAUGUACCCGGGAGUUCCGAUGGAUAUUUCCAGUAACACUAGAACUAAUACAUGUCCCUGCGUUUAUUAGUUUCGCACAGUCCGUCGCUGAGUCAUGGUAAACAGUUGAUCGACUCGACGUCCCGGAACAGUUUCCGCCCCAUCAGCUUCGAUGGUUGGGUAUUGGCCUACCAUUGCAACAACGGGUAACGAGGAAUUAGGGUUUGAUUUCGGAGAGGGAGCCUGAGAAACGGCUACCACAUCUACGGAUGGCAGCAGGCGCGCAAAUUACCCAAUGCAGACACUGUGAGGUAGUGACGAGAAAUAAUAAAGCGGGACUUCUGUUUCGCUAUUAUAAUGAGGAAUAACCAAAGGUCAUUCCGAUUAGCAACUGAUGGGAAAGUCUGGUGCCAGCAGCCGCGGUAAUACCAGCGUCAGUA